CGGAGGUCUGGUGUAGGCCUCUGUGAAGCCUGAACUCCAGUAGGGCCCAAGCCAGCCAGGAAGGAGGAGGCAGCCAGAGUGGCCACCACUGUUCUCUGCAGCAGAAGACCCCCUGCUGCCAGUUUUACUCACGCUGAGGCUCAAGUGUCGUCAGAAUGGGUUGUGCCCUGCUGGCUGCUGCCCCAGACAGGGCCUUCACCCCUUUCUCUGCUUCAUCACACACAGUCUGAAGGCAGAAAUGACACAUAGCUCUAUUUUACUAUGGAAAGGAAAAAGAAAAAAGUAAGGAGGAAACCAGCAUGAAGCCUCCUGCCCCUCCAAUGCAGAGAACAGAAAGUGACCUGGGGAAAUUCACAGAGAUGCAGUUCUGUUAGGCUGCUCUUUCACUGCACCGGGGUCUUCUUUGCUCUUAUGUGACGUAUGUUAGCCGAUAUGUAUAGAUCUGUAUCUCUGUAUGUCAGCCAAUAGGUACAGAUCUAUAUCUGUGCACCCUGUGCAGAGAUCACACGAGUGUUCACCAUAAUGUGUGAACAGGGCUAUACGAUGCAAACAGACUUACCUCCCCUUCCAAGCUAUCAUCAGAGAUCCCUGAGGAUGUGUUGCUUUGUUCUGGCUUUGCAGAAGACAUGGUGGCUUCACU
Long non-coding RNA from Hemicordylus capensis (graceful crag lizard), 640 nucleotides. RefSeq lists it as uncharacterized. The transcript is spliced from 3 exons. NCBI's taxonomy places the organism in Eukaryota, Metazoa, Chordata, Lepidosauria, Squamata, Cordylidae. The record is from RefSeq and is a predicted model, not a curated record.